UGGGGAAUAUUGGACAAUGGGCGAAAGCCUGAUCCAGCCAUGCCGCGUGUGUGAAGAAGGCCUUUUGGUUGUAAAGCACUUUAAGCGAGGAGGAGGCUACUUGGAUUAAUACUAUAGGACAGUGGACGUUACUCGCAGAAUAAGCACCGGCUAACUCUGUGCCAGCAGACGCGGUAAUACAGAGGGUGCGAGCGUUAAUCGGAUUUACUGGGCGUAAAGCGUGCGUAGGCGGCUUUUUAAGUCGGAUGUGAAAUCCCUGAGCUUAACUUAGGAAUUGCAUUCGAUACGUGGAAGCUAGAGUAUGGGAGAGGAUGGUAGAAUUCCAGGUGUAGAGGUGAAAUUCGUAGAGAUCUGGAGGAAUACCGAUGGCGAAGGCAGCCAUCUGGCCUAAUACUGACGCUGAGGUACGAAAGCAUGGGGAGCAAACAGG
Molecule: ribosomal RNA, 430 nt
Filed under: Bacillota bacterium
Lineage: Bacteria; Bacillati; Bacillota
Description: Firmicutes bacterium partial 16S ribosomal RNA
Rfam family: Bacterial small subunit ribosomal RNA
Source: RNAcentral